AUGUCUCAAGUCUCAACCCUGAUGGCUUUACCGGCUUAUUGGCCGUUUAGGGCCGCUGAGAUCUUACCCUCGAGAUUUGUGGCCGGGCAGUCUUUGGUGCUUGGCACCGAGAUGAUCGCUCGGUGGGGGAAAUAUCUUCUCAAGGAGAUGCGCACCUAUCUUCCGAACUUGCAGGGAUUCGAGAUUCGAUGGACUGGUCGUGAUGCUAACGUUGCUGCCAAAGAGUCUUUGGUGAUCCACACUAGUACAAUUGAUUUUCCAGUAAUUCCUGAUGUUCUGGUUGACAUUGUACAAUCAGACUUAGUCCGCCAAAAUGAAUAA
RNAcentral lists this ribosomal RNA (321 nucleotides) under Triticum aestivum (bread wheat). RNAcentral describes it as "partial small subunit ribosomal RNA". Lineage: Eukaryota; Viridiplantae; Streptophyta; Magnoliopsida; Poales; Poaceae. The record is from RNAcentral.